UGAAGAACGUAGCGAAAUGCGAUACUUGGUGUGAAUUGCAGAAUCCCGCGAACCAUCGAGUCUUUGAACGCAAGUUGCGCCCGAGGCCACCCGGCCGAGGGCACGCCUGCCUGGGCGUCACGCCUCGCGUCGCUCCGAGCACCGGCCCGACCCGGCGCGCGGACGCGGACACUGGCCCUCCG
RNAcentral lists this ribosomal RNA (182 nucleotides) under Vellozia prolifera. RNAcentral's name for it is "5.8S ribosomal RNA". The stretch from base 1 to 120 matches the Rfam family "5.8S ribosomal RNA", at positions 37 to 154 of the family's 154-position model. From Rfam's summary of the family: 5.8S ribosomal RNA (5.8S rRNA) is a component of the large subunit of the eukaryotic ribosome. It is transcribed by RNA polymerase I as part of the 45S precursor that also contains 18S and 28S rRNA. The record is from RNAcentral. Lineage: Eukaryota; Viridiplantae; Streptophyta; Magnoliopsida; Pandanales; Velloziaceae.